AUGAACGCUGGCGGCGUGCCUAAUACAUGCCAGUCGAGCGAACAGACGAGGAGCUUGCUCCUCUGACGUUAGCGGCGGACGGGUGAGUAACACGUGGAUAACCUACCUAUAAGACUGGGAUAACUUCGGGAAACCGGAGCUAAUACCGGAUAAUAUAUUGAACCGCAUGGUUCAAUAGUGAAAGACGGUUUUGCUGUCACUUAUAGAUGGAUCCGCGCCGCAUUAGCUAGUUGGUAAGGUAACGGCUUACCAAGGCAACGAUGCGUAGCCGACCUGAGAGGGUGAUCGGCCACACUGGAACGGAGACACGGUCCAGACUCCUACGGGAGGCAGCAGUAGGGAAUCUACCGCAAUGGGAGAAAGCUUGACGGAGCAACGCCGCGUGAGUGAUGAAGGUCUUCGGAUCGGAAAACUCUGUUAUUAGGGAAGAACAAAUGUGUAAGUAACUAUGCACGUCUUGACGGUACCUAAUCAGAAAGCCACGGCUAACUACGUG
RNAcentral lists this ribosomal RNA (496 nucleotides) under uncultured bacterium. RNAcentral's name for it is "partial 16S ribosomal RNA". It matches the Rfam family "Bacterial small subunit ribosomal RNA", at positions 29 to 507 of the family's 1533-position model. The record is from RNAcentral.